CGGGCUGUAGUUCAGCUUGGUAGAACGCUUGCAUGGGGUGCAAGAGGUCGUGAGUUCGAAUCUCGCCAGCCCGACCA
This 77-nucleotide transfer RNA is filed under the name Phragmitibacter flavus. Its description in RNAcentral is "Verrucobacter flavum tRNA-Pro". It matches the Rfam family "tRNA". From Rfam's summary of the family: Transfer RNA (tRNA) molecules are approximately 80 nucleotides in length. Their secondary structure includes four short double-helical elements and three loops (D, anti-codon, and T loops). The record is from RNAcentral. Lineage: Bacteria; Pseudomonadati; Verrucomicrobiota; Verrucomicrobiia; Verrucomicrobiales; Verrucomicrobiaceae.